Molecule: long non-coding RNA, 409 nt
Organism: Syngnathus acus (greater pipefish)
Lineage: Eukaryota; Metazoa; Chordata; Actinopteri; Syngnathiformes; Syngnathidae
Exons: 2
Source: RefSeq, a predicted model, not a curated record
UAUAGCGAGCUACCUUUUGGCCGGGGCUGCCUGCUCCCAUUCCUGCACACGAAUUCCCCCCACACACCACCGCCGCUUAACGGCUUUAAGCGUCGCAUCGUUACAGUCGGUAAAGCCGCGUCGUUAUCACCACCCCCCCCUCUCAUCCACCCCCUCCCUCCCUUAACAUCCUCCCACUCUCCCAUCACCUCUCUGCCGCUAACAGGCUGGAAAUAAACAAACGCCAACGGUGGCGCUUUAACCACAAAUAUGUGAACAGGAGAGGAGGCUGCAGUAUUUCCUCUCGUUUUGGCGCAUCCGUGGUCCUGAUUCCGCAUCCCGAGGUCGGUCCUCUUGCCGGCUUGCGGGAUAAAAGAGGGAUGCUGGGAUGGCGGACGACAAGGGAUGGGAGGCAUGCAGUCAGGAGAAA